This 253-nucleotide ribosomal RNA is filed under the name uncultured bacterium. Its description in RNAcentral is "partial 16S ribosomal RNA". It matches the Rfam family "Bacterial small subunit ribosomal RNA", at positions 524 to 776 of the family's 1533-position model. The record is from RNAcentral.
UACGUAGGGGGCAAGCGUUGUCCGGAAUCAUUGGGCGUAAAGCGCGUGUAGGCGGCCUUGUAAGUCCGUUCUGAAAGCCCGGGGCUCAACCCCGGGAGGCGGAUGGAUACUGCAAGGCUCGAGUACGGAAGAGGCGAGUGGAAUUCCCGGUGUAGCGGUGAAAUGCGCAGAUAUCGGGAGGAACACCAAUGGCGAAGGCAGCUCGCUGGGACGUUACUGACGCUGAGGAGCGAAAGCGUGGGGAGCGAACAGG